GACGAACGCUGGCGGCGUGCUUAACACAUGCAAGUCGAACGGAAAGGCCCUUCGGGGUACCCGAGUGGCGAACGGGUGAGUAACACGUGGGUGAUCUGCCCUGCACUUUGGGAUAAGCCUGGGAAACUGGGUCUAAUACCGGAUAGGACUACGCGAUGCAUGUCGUGUGGUGGAAAGCUUUUGCGGUGUGGGAUGGGCCCGCGGCCUAUCAGCUUGUCGGUGGGGUUAUGGCUUACCAAGGCGACGACGGGUAGCCGGCCUGAGAGGGUGACCGGCCACACUGGGACUGGGGUACGGCCCAGAAUCCUACGGGAGGCAGCAGUGGGGAAUAUUGCACAAUGGGCGCAAGCCUGAUGCAGCGACGCCGCGUGAGGGAUGACGGCCUUCGGGUUGUAAACCUCUUUCAGCAGGGACGAAGCGCAAGUGACGGUACCUGUAGAAGAAGGACCGGCCAACUACGUGCCAGCCGCCGCGGUAA
This 478-nucleotide ribosomal RNA is filed under the name uncultured bacterium. RNAcentral's name for it is "partial 16S ribosomal RNA". It matches the Rfam family "Bacterial small subunit ribosomal RNA", at positions 28 to 523 of the family's 1533-position model. The record is from RNAcentral.